UGGAUCAAUGAUGACCACUGGUGGCGUAUAAGUCAUGGACGAUGACUAUAGCUCUGGAAGUCUGAGAUCUAC
This 72-nucleotide small nucleolar RNA is filed under the name Castor canadensis (American beaver). RNAcentral's name for it is "Small nucleolar RNA SNORD113/SNORD114 family (ENSCCNG00000001531.1)". It matches the Rfam family "Small nucleolar RNA SNORD113/SNORD114 family". From Rfam's summary of the family: The imprinted human domain at 14q32 contains two clusters of tandemly repeated small nucleolar RNAs named 14q(I) and 14q(II) snoRNAs. These two clusters are named SNORD113 and SNORD114 respectively in the HGNC approved gene symbol nomenclature. The record is from Rfam by way of RNAcentral. Lineage: Eukaryota; Metazoa; Chordata; Mammalia; Rodentia; Castoridae.